AACAACCCAGACCUUAGAAUAAGGUCCUUAAAUCUGAUCUAAGUGAGAAAGAUGGCAGUUGUUCAAUGUCGAUCAGGAUGUAGGCUUAGAAGCGGCCAUCAUCUAAGGAAAGCGUAACAGCUCACUGAUUAACGAAUGAUCUGUAUCGAAAAUGUAACGGGACUAAGUUCAGUACCGAAGUCAAGGGCGUUGCCAAUCCAGCAACGCAGUAGCAGAGCAUUCCGUAAGCCAAGGAAGACAACCCGUGAGGGUUGUUGGAGGUAUCGGAAGAGAGAAUGUUGACAUGAGUAACGAUAAUUGAAAGAAAGAACCUUUUCACACCGAAUGAUCAAGGUUUCCUGUUUGAAGUCGAUCUAAACAGGGUCAGCCGAUCCCUAAGGUAAAGCAUAAGUGCAUAGCCGAUGGCAAUCACGUUAAUAUUCGUGAGCCUUCCACAAGUGACUUAAUCCGAACCAUGUCCUGUCUAAAUGGAUUGACAUGGCAUGUUAGGAUUAACAAGAAACAGCUUGUGGAUGUUGUUCGUACCGAAGACCGACACAGGUGAUCGGGUAGAGUAUACCAAGGUGUAUGAGAUAAUUGUGUUGAAGGAACUCGGCAAACUGCAUGUGUAACUUCGGAAGAAACAUGACCGAUUAUGGGAAACCAGAGUCAGGUGUAACACAACGGAGGGAAGCGACUGUUUAUCAAAAACACAGGACUCUGCAAAAUUGUAAGAUGACGUAUAGAGUCUGACACCUGCCCGGUGCUGAUCAGCAAAAACCAGAUGUUUAAAGCAUCCGGUCUAAGUUUCAGUAAACGGCGGCCGUAACUAUAACGGUCCAAAGGUAGCGAAACCCCUUGUCGGGUAAGUUCCGACCAGCAUGAAUGGUGUAACGACUUCCCUGCUGUCUCCAGCACAAGCUCAGUGAAAUUGAAAUCCUCGUGAAGAUGCGAGGUACCUGCGGCAAGACGGAAAGACCCCGUGCACCUUCACUGCAACCUUGUAUUGAUGAACUUUUGAUCAAAUUGUACAGUGUAGAUGGUAAGCGAUAACCGUUGGCCGUUAGCCCAACGUUAGCUGCCAAUGAAACACCAUCCUGUUGUCAAAACAACAUCUCAUUGCUGUAAGUCAAUCUUAAUGUAAGAUCAUGCAAGGUGGGUAGUUUGACUGGGACGGUCACCUCCUAAAAAGUAACAGAGGUGUACACAAGGUAGGCUCAUGACGCUUGGAAAUCGUCAGUAGAGUACAAUGGCAUAUGCCUGCUAAGACUGCGAGGCAGACAUGUCGAGCAGAGACGAAAGUCGGUCAUAGUGAUCCAAUAACACCAUGUGGAAGGGUUGUUGCUUAACGGAUAAAAGGUACGCCGGGGAUAACAGGCUAAUAGCUCCCAAGAGUUCUUAUCGACGGAGCUGCUUGGCACCUCGAUGUCGACUCAUCGCAUCCUGGGGCUGAACAAGGUCCCAAGGGUAUGGCUGUUCGCCAUUUAAAGCGGUACGUGAGUUGGGUUCAGAACGUCGCAAGACAGUUCGGUCCCUAUCUGCCGUGGGUGUAAGAAUGUUGAUGGGAUCUGUCUCUAGUACGAGAGGACCGAGAUGGACAUACCUCUGGUAUCCCUGUUGUCGUUAUCAACCGGCAUGGUAGGAUGGCUAAGUAUGGAACAGAUAACAGCUGAAUGCAUCUAAGCCGGAAGCUAACCCAAAGACAAACCUUCUAUUAAGGGACGUGAUAGACCAUCACGUCGAUAGGUCAGAUGUGUAAGCAUGGUAACAUGCUCAGCUAACUGAUACUAACAACCCGAAAAUUAUGACAAC
Molecule: ribosomal RNA, 1791 nt
Filed under: Candidatus Hodgkinia cicadicola
Lineage: Bacteria; Pseudomonadati; Pseudomonadota; Alphaproteobacteria; Hyphomicrobiales
Description: bacterial LSU rRNA
Rfam family: Bacterial large subunit ribosomal RNA
Source: RNAcentral